Molecule: ribosomal RNA, 377 nt
Filed under: uncultured bacterium
Lineage: Bacteria
Description: bacterial SSU rRNA
Rfam family: Bacterial small subunit ribosomal RNA
Source: RNAcentral
GACGGAGGGGGCAAGCGUUGUUCGGAAUUAUUGGGCGUAAAGGGCUCGUAGGCGGAUCUGUAAGUCUGACGUGAAAUCUCCACCGCUUAACGGGGAGAGGUCGCUGGAUACUGCAGAUCUGGAGUUCGGCAGAGGACCAUGGAAUUUCGGGUGUAGCGGUGGAAUGCGUAGAUAUCCGAAAGAACACCGGUGGCGAAGGCGGUGGUCUGGGCCUGAACUGACGCUGAGGAGCGAAAGCCAGGGGAGCAAACGGGAUUAGAUACCCCGGUAGUCCUGGCCGUAAACGUUGGAUACUAGGUGUGGGGGGUAUCGACCCCUCCUGUGCCGAAGUUAACACAUUAAGUAUCCCGCCUGGGAAGUACGGCCGCAAGGUUGAA